UACAGAGGGUGCGAGCGUUAAUCGGAAUUACUGGGCGUAAAGCGUGCGUAGACGGUUAUGUAAGUCAGAUGUGAAAGCCCCGGGCUCAACCUGGGAAUGGCAUUUGAGACUGCAUAGCUAGGAUGCGGAAGAGGGAAGUGGAAUUUCCGGUGUAGCGGUGAAAUGCGUAGAUAUCUGGAGGAACACCGAUGGCGAAGGCAGCCUUCUGGGCCAACACUGACGCUCAUGCACGAAAGCGUGGGGAGCAAACAGG
Molecule: ribosomal RNA, 253 nt
Filed under: uncultured bacterium
Lineage: Bacteria
Description: partial 16S ribosomal RNA
Rfam family: Bacterial small subunit ribosomal RNA
Source: RNAcentral